GCCGGGAGCAGUGGCGCCACCUGUAAUCCCAGCAGUUUGGGAGGCUGAGACAGGGGGAUCACGAGUUCAAAGCCAGCCUCAGCAAAAGCGAGGUGCUAAGCAACUCAGUGAGCCCCUGUCUCUA
This 124-nucleotide small RNA is filed under the name Marmota monax (woodchuck). The record is from RNAcentral. Lineage: Eukaryota; Metazoa; Chordata; Mammalia; Rodentia; Sciuridae.